UACGUAGGGGGCAAGCGUUGUCCGGAAUUAUUGGGCGUAAAGAGCGUGUAGGCGGCCAGGUAGGUCCGUUGUGAAAACUUGAGGCUCAACUUCGAGAUGUCGACGGAAACCAUCUGGCUAGAGUCCGGAAGAGGAGAGUGGAAUUCCUGGUGUAGCGGUGAAAUGCGCAGAUAUCAGGAGGAACACCCGUGGCGAAAGCGGCUCUCUGGGACGGUACUGACGCUGAGACGCGAAAGCGUGGGGAGCGAACAGG
This 253-nucleotide ribosomal RNA is filed under the name uncultured bacterium. Its description in RNAcentral is "partial 16S ribosomal RNA". It matches the Rfam family "Bacterial small subunit ribosomal RNA", at positions 524 to 776 of the family's 1533-position model. The record is from RNAcentral.